GAGCUGUAUUAAAGGAGAGAAAGUUAGCACUCCCCUUGAGAAGGAUGGAAGAGGUCCUAGUGGCCCAUACAACACAUAUAUGAUUAAGGCAUUGCCACCUACUUCGUGGUAUCUAACCAAGUUUUUUU
Molecule: small nuclear RNA, 128 nt
Organism: Tachyglossus aculeatus (Australian echidna)
Lineage: Eukaryota; Metazoa; Chordata; Mammalia; Monotremata; Tachyglossidae
Source: RefSeq, a predicted model, not a curated record